CAGAGCAGGCCUCAAAAAUUUGAAGGGAUUUCUGGGACUUGGACUCUUCUCAGCCUGGCAAAUGGCAUGACUUAGAUCUGCUGCAGCCAAAGUGGGAAGCUUGAAGCUGCCAGGAGAGAGGAGGACUUGCAUCAUGUGGUGGCUAAAGAAUGAGUCCAACCCAGAGGCGCAGAGCCAAGAAAUGGGUCCAUGUUCUGAAUCAAAAUCAAAUCCAAGUCCAUGAGCCUGGAUGGCCAAUGAGCCAAGAAAUUCCCUUUAGUGCCUAAGCAUGUCUGAAAUCGUUUUAUUUCACUGGUAACAUUAAACAUCCUAAUGGAUGCACCCUGGUUAGAUUAUAAACUGCAACAGCAAAGACUGUCACUCUCCAUCGCCAUUGUAUCCCCUGGCAUUCAAUAAAUAACUUUAGAAUGGAUGCAUUUCAGCUGAAAGGAACACCUUCUAUAAAUUCCCCUCUGCUCAUUUGACAGCUUAGGAGCCUGGAAUUCUGUUGGAAAGUAAAGAUGUGGAUCUAGAAGCCAGAUCUCACCCAACACAGGCUUUUUUGUAAUCACCAGGAAGUCUCCCAGGAGGCGUGAGGGGGUGUAGAGAAGCCAGGAGUGCUAUGCUGAGCUCCUUUCAGAAAAAA
Non-coding RNA from Ictidomys tridecemlineatus (thirteen-lined ground squirrel), 625 nucleotides. NCBI's taxonomy places the organism in Eukaryota, Metazoa, Chordata, Mammalia, Rodentia, Sciuridae. The record is from RefSeq and is a predicted model, not a curated record.